GCGAACACGUUGAUGAGAACUAGUACUUCAACAAGGUCUGGCCUAGAGAGUCGGUGGUUGGUGCAAACCGAUCCAGCUUGUGAAGGAAUCCAUCUCGGAGUGGCAAGGUAUAACUUGUCCGGUCCCCGUCCCGUUAUGACGGAAGAGUGGACAGAUAGCUGUGAUUCAGGAGCUUCUGUCAACGAGGGUGGCAACGCGGGUAACCAGCACUCGUCCCUUAU
RNAcentral lists this non-coding RNA (221 nucleotides) under Brevibacillus panacihumi. Its description in RNAcentral is "T-box sequence". It matches the Rfam family "T-box leader". Rfam says of the family: Uncharged tRNA acts as the effector for transcription antitermination of genes in the T-box leader family. Lineage: Bacteria; Bacillati; Bacillota; Bacilli; Caryophanales; Paenibacillaceae. The record is from RNAcentral.